Molecule: ribosomal RNA, 406 nt
Filed under: uncultured bacterium
Lineage: Bacteria
Description: partial 16S ribosomal RNA
Rfam family: Bacterial small subunit ribosomal RNA
Source: RNAcentral
AUUGAACGCUGGCGGCAGGCCUAACACAUGCAAGUCGAACGAGUGGCGGACGGGUGAGUAAUGUCUGGGAAACUGCCUGAUGGAGGGGGAUAACUACUGGAAACGGUAGCUAAUACCGCAUACCAUCAGAUGUGCCCAGAUGGGAUUAGCUAGUUGGUGGGGUAAAGGCUCACCAAGGCGACGAUCCCUAGCUGGUCUGAGAGGAUGACCAGCCACACUGAAAUGGAGACACGGUCCAGUCUCCGACGGGAGGCAGCAGUGGGGAAUAUUGCACAAGGGGCGCAAGCUUGAUGCAGCCAUGCCGCGUGUAUGAAGAAGUGCUUCGGGUUGGAAAGUACUUUCAGCGGGGAAGCGUUACUCGCAGAAGAAGCACCGGCUAACUCCGUGCCAGCAGCCGCGGUAAUAC